UACGUAGGCAGCGAGCGUUGUUCGGAGUUACUGGGCAUAAAGGGUGUGUAGGCGGUUGUUUAAGUUUGGUGUGAAAUCUCCCGGCUCAACUGGGAGGGUGCGCCGAAUACUGAAUGACUAGAGUGCGGGAGGGGUGAGUGGAAUUCCUGGUGUAGCGGUGAAAUGCGUAGAUAUCAGGAGGAACACCGGUGGUGUAGACGGCUCACUGGACCGUAACUGACGCUGAGACACGAAAGCGUGGGUAGCAAACAGG
RNAcentral lists this ribosomal RNA (253 nucleotides) under uncultured bacterium. RNAcentral's name for it is "partial 16S ribosomal RNA". It matches the Rfam family "Bacterial small subunit ribosomal RNA", at positions 524 to 776 of the family's 1533-position model. The record is from RNAcentral.